AGGAAAAAACUAACCAGGAUUCCCCUAGUAACGGCGAGUGAAGAGGGAAKAGCCCAGCACCGAAGCCUGCGGUACAUUUACUGUUAGGCAAUGUGGUGUUUGGGUCGGCUCGCGGGAUUGCCACUCCAGKGGAAGUCCASCAUURAGUAUGGUCCACUGGAUUUGGCCCAGAGAGGGUGAAAGGCCCGUACGGGUGGAGGUUUCAGACAAGUAAGGCAAUUCACUAAGCCGGCCUUAGAGUCGGGUUGUUUGGGAAUGCAGCCCAAAGUGGGUGGUAAACUCCAUCCAAGGCUAAAUACUAGCACGAGUCCGAUAGCAAACAAGUACCGUGAGGGAAAGUUGAAAAGUACUUUGAAGAGAGAGUAAACAGUACGUGAAACCGCAUGCAGGUAAACGGGUGGCGUCAAGCUGCAAGCCCAGAAGAUUCAGCCGGUUAAGUGUAGUUACGCGCUUGCGUGUCAAGGGCCAGUGUAAGAUUGGGUAGUUACUGRAAACAUGGGCCCUGCCCCAAGUGGGGUGUGUGUACCGGGCGGAAAGCGAGCACGCUACUCGUUGUUGGGCUAUCUARCCGGGGCACUUUCUCUGUUGGGAACACCACGACCGGUGGUACUGCCAGUCUGCUAUGGUCAAGUCGUAUUCGGUUGGUCCUUGUGGCCUACUGGGUGCGAUCACGGGCAAAUUCGGUGAACGGCGUUGAUGUGCUUUCGGGUGUGUCUUCGUGUUAUCGGCUGCCGGUUGCUUUAACGGGCCUGCCUGGCGAUGGUUCUAGCCCUCGUUGUGGUGGUCUGGUGGACCUUAGUGGUAAGAAUAACUGUGCAGGGCACCGGAGUGUUCGGCCUCAAAUGCAGCCAGCAUGCACGCUAUUAGUGUUGUAUGCGGGUGCUCUCGUGGUCCGCCUGUUGUCGGGUCUGAUUGUCGUGUUGCCUGCGCAAAGUGGGUUCGGCAGUGGCUCGGUGCAGGAUGGGCUUGCGUGGGGUGCCUGUAGUGUUGGUUGUAGUGGGCCUGAUAGUCAGUGGUGUAGUGGUAGACGAGCUACCCGACCCGUCUUGAAACACGGACCAAGGAGUUUAACAUGUGUGCAAGUCAAUGGGUCGUACGAAACCCAAAGGCGCAGUGAAAGUGAAGCUUCGGGCCUCGGUUCGGAGUGAGGUGAGAUCCUGUCGUUUCUCCACCAGCCCCUCGGUCAGAAGCAGGCGUUAAGAGCGGCGGGCGCAUCACCGGCCCGUCCCAUGAUGUGGUCAUUGGAAAAGRYUGCAGUUGGCUUMGGCUGGYUGUAGUACUMCC
Molecule: ribosomal RNA, 1284 nt
Filed under: Spongiobothrium sp.
Lineage: Eukaryota; Metazoa; Platyhelminthes; Cestoda; Rhinebothriidea; Rhinebothriidae
Description: partial 28S large subunit ribosomal RNA
Rfam family: Eukaryotic large subunit ribosomal RNA
Source: RNAcentral